This 253-nucleotide ribosomal RNA is filed under the name uncultured bacterium. RNAcentral's name for it is "partial 16S ribosomal RNA". It matches the Rfam family "Bacterial small subunit ribosomal RNA", at positions 524 to 776 of the family's 1533-position model. The record is from RNAcentral.
GACGAACUGUGCGAACGUUAUUCGGAAUCACUGGGCUUACAGGGUGCGUAGGCGGUUGUCUAAGUCCGAUGUGAAAUCCCCCGGCUCAACCGGGGAAUAGCGUUGGAAACUGGACGGCUUGAGUGAGGUAGGGGCGCGUGGAACUUCCGGUGGAGCGGUGAAAUGUGUUGAUAUCGGAAGGAACGCCGGUGGCGAAAGCGGCGCGCUGGGCCUCAACUGACGCUGAGACGCGAAAGCGUGGGGAGCAAACAGG